UUAAGCGACUAAGCGUACACGGUGGAUGCCCUGGCAGUCAGAGGCGAUGAAGGACGUGCUAAUCUGCGAAAAGCGUCGGUAAGGUGAUAUGAACCGUUAUAACCGGCGAUGUCCGAAUGGGGAAACCCAGUGUGAUUCGUCACACUAUCGUUAACUGAAUACAUAGGUUAACGAGGCGAACCGGGGGAACUGAAACAUCUAAGUACCCCGAGGAAAAGAAAUCAACCGAGAUUCCCCCAGUAGCGGCGAGCGAACGGGGAGCAGCCCAGAGUCUGAAUCAGCUUGUGUGUUAGUGGAACGGUCUGGAAAGUCCGACGGUACAGGGUGAUAGUCCCGUACACCAAAAUGCACAGGCUGUGAACUCGAAGAGUAGGGCGGGACACGUGGUAUCCUGUCUGAAUAUGGGGGGACCAUCCUCCAAGGCUAAAUACUCCUGACUGACCGAUAGUGAACCAGUACCGUGAGGGAAAGGCGAAAAGAACCCCGGCGAGGGGAGUGAAAAAGAACCUGAAACCGUGUACGUACAAGCAGUGGGAGCACCUUCGGGUGUGACUGCGUACCUUUUGUAUAAUGGGUCAGCGACUUAUAUUCUGUAGCAAGGUUAACCGUAUAGGGGAGCCGCAGGGAAACCGAGUCUUAACUGGGCGUUAAGUUGCAGGGUAUAGACCCGAAACCCGGUGAUCUAGCCAUGGGCAGGUUGAAGGUUGGGUAACACUAACUGGAGGACCGAACCGACUAAUGUUGAAAAAUUAGCGGAUGACUUGUGGCUGGGGGUGAAAGGCCAAUCAAACCGGGAGAUAGCUGGUUCUCCCCGAAAGCUAUUUAGGUAGCGCCUCGUGAACUCAUCUUCGGGGGUAGAGCACUGUUUCGGCUAGGGGGUCAUCCCGACUUACCAACCCGAUGCAAACUACGAAUACCGAAGAAUGUUAUCACGGGAGACACACGGCGGGUGCUAACGUCCGUCGUGAAGAGGGAAACAACCCAGACCGCCAGCUAAGGUCCCAAAGUCAUGGUUAAGUGGGAAACGAUGUGGGAAGGCACAGACAGCCAGGAUGUUGGCUUAGAAGCAGCCAUCAUUUAAAGAAAGCGUAAUAGCUCACUGGUCGAGUCGGCCUGCGCGGAAGAUGUAACGGGGCUAAACCAUGCACCGAAGCUGCGGCAGCGACACUAUGUGUUGUUGGGUAGGGGAGCGUUCUGUAAGCCUGCGAAGGUGUGCUGUGAGGCAUGCUGGAGGUAUCAGAAGUGCGAAUGCUGACAUAAGUAACGAUAAAGCGGGUGAAAAGCCCGCUCGCCGGAAGACCAAGGGUUCCUGUCCAACGUUAAUCGGGGCAGGGUGAGUCGACCCCUAAGGCGAGGCCGAAAGGCGUAGUCGAUGGGAAACAGGUUAAUAUUCCUGUACUUGGUGUUACUGCGAAGGGGGGACGGAGAAGGCUAUGUUAGCCGGGCGACGGUUGUCCCGGUUUAAGCAUGUAGGCUGAUUAUCCAGGCAAAUCCGGAUAAUCAAGGCUGAGGUGUGAUGACGAGGCACUACGGUGCUGAAGUAACAAAUGCCCUGCUUCCAGGAAAAGCCUCUAAGCAUCAGGUAACAUCAAAUCGUACCCCAAACCGACACAGGUGGUCAGGUAGAGAAUACCAAGGCGCUUGAGAGAACUCGGGUGAAGGAACUAGGCAAAAUGGUGCCGUAACUUCGGGAGAAGGCACGCUGGUGUGUAGGUGAAGUCCCUGCGGAUGGAGCUGAGACCAGUCGAAGAUACCAGCUGGCUGCAACUGUUUAUUAAAAACACAGCACUGUGCAAACACGAAAGUGGACGUAUACGGUGUGACGCCUGCCCGGUGCCGGAAGGUUAAUUGAUGGGGUUAUCCGUAAGGAGAAGCUCUUGAUCGAAGCCCCGGUAAACGGCGGCCGUAACUAUAACGGUCCUAAGGUAGCGAAAUUCCUUGUCGGGUAAGUUCCGACCUGCACGAAUGGCGUAAUGAUGGCCAGGCUGUCUCCACCCGAGACUCAGUGAAAUUGAACUCGCUGUGAAGAUGCAGUGUACCCGCGGCAAGACGGAAAGACCCCGUGAACCUUUACUAUAGCUUGACACUGAACAUUGAGCCUUGAUGUGUAGGAUAGGUGGGAGGCUUUGAAGCGUGGACGCCAGUCUGCGUGGAGCCAACCUUGAAAUACCACCCUUUAAUGUUUGAUGUUCUAACGUUGGCCCCUGACCGGGGUUGCGGACAGUGUCUGGUGGGUAGUUUGACUGGGGCGGUCUCCUCCCAAAGCGUAACGGAGGAGCACGAAGGUUAGCUAAUCCUGGUCGGACAUCAGGAGGUUAGUGCAAUGGCAUAAGCUAGCUUGACUGCGAGCGUGACGGCGCGAGCAGGUGCGAAAGCAGGUCAUAGUGAUCCGGUGGUUCUGAAUGGAAGGGCCAUCGCUCAACGGAUAAAAGGUACUCCGGGGAUAACAGGCUGAUACCGCCCAAGAGUUCAUAUCGACGGCGGUGUUUGGCACCUCGAUGUCGGCUCAUCACAUCCUGGGGCUGAAGUAGGUCCCAAGGGUAUGGCUGUUCGCCAUUUAAAGUGGUACGCGAGCUGGGUUUAGAACGUCGUGAGACAGUUCGGUCCCUAUCUGCCGUGGGCGCUGGAGAAUUGAGGGGGGCUGCUCCUAGUACGAGAGGACCGGAGUGGACGCAUCACUGGUGUUCGGGUUGUCAUGCCAAUGGCACUGCCCGGUAGCUAAAUGCGGAAGAGAUAAGUGCUGAAAGCAUCUAAGCACGAAACUUGCCCCGAGAUGAGUUCUCCCUGAGACUAUAAGUCUCCUGAA
This 2806-nucleotide ribosomal RNA is filed under the name Klebsiella pneumoniae. Its description in RNAcentral is "bacterial LSU rRNA". It matches the Rfam family "Bacterial large subunit ribosomal RNA". The record is from RNAcentral. Lineage: Bacteria; Pseudomonadati; Pseudomonadota; Gammaproteobacteria; Enterobacterales; Enterobacteriaceae.